Molecule: ribosomal RNA, 1001 nt
Filed under: human gut metagenome
Description: bacterial SSU rRNA
Rfam family: Bacterial small subunit ribosomal RNA
Source: RNAcentral
ACGGGUAGCAAUACCUGUUGACGGCGACCGGCGCACGGGUGCGUAACGCGUAUGUAACCUACCGUUAACAGGGGGAUAGUCAGAGGAAACUUUGAAUAAUACCGCAUAAAACAGGGGUCCGGCAUCGGAAUAUUUGUUAAAGGUGGCGACACGGUGAACGAUGGGCAUGCGUUCGAUUAGAUAGUUGGCGGGGUAACGGCUCACCAAGUCUACGAUCGAUAGGGGGUCUGAGAGGAUUAUCCCCCACACUGGUACUGAGAUACGGACCAGACUCCUACGGGAGGCAGCAGUGAGGAAUAUUGGGCAAUGGGCGAAAGCCUGACCCAGCCAUGCCGCGUGCAGGAAGACGGCCCUAUGGGUUGUAAACUGCUUUUACUCGGGAAGAAUAAGGGUUACGUGUAACCCGAUGACGGUACCGAAAGAAUAAGCAUCGGCUAACUCCGUGCCAGCAGCCGCGGUAAUACGGAGGAUGCGAGCGUUAUCCGGAAUUAUUGGGUUUAAAGGGUCCGCAGGCGGACAGGUAAGUCAGUAGUGAAAAACCGGGGCUUAACCCCGGUCGUGCUACAGAAACUGCCUGACUAGAGAAAGUUUGGCGUUGGCGGAAUGUGACAAGUAGCGGUGAAAUGCAUAGAUAUGUCACAGAACACCGAUAGCGAAAGCAGCUGACGAAGACUAUUCUGACGCUCAGGGACGAAAGCGUGGGGAGCAAACAGGAUUAGAUACCCUGGUAGUCCACGCAGUAAACGAUGGGUACCAUCUUUUUGUCCGCAAGGAUGAGAGGAUCAUCGAAAGAGAUAAGUACCCCACCUGGGGAGUACGUUCGCAAGAAUGAAACUCAAAGGAAUUGACGGGGGCCCGCACAAGCGGAGGAACAUGUGGUUUAAUUCGAUGAUACGCGAGGAACCUUACCGGGGUUUAAAUGGGAUCUGAAUAAUCUGGAAACAGGUUAGCCGCAAGGCAGAUUUCAAGGUGCUGCAUGGUUGUCGUCAGCUCGUGCCGUG